CUCGCCCAUUGCCAACUUUUCCAUAUAAAGGGGCUCAUCCUCGUCAUUGAACCCCAAAUAGUCAUUUAGCGACUUCCCAUCGAAUAAUACCUUUUUGUUUUGAACCUUGGUCACUUUGGAACCCUUGAUGAUAUGGGUCACAUUAAGUAAAACUCCUUGACCAAGUAUUCAUUUGCCUCCAAACAGUCAUCUAAAAAGUGCUCCCACCCUACUCUCGUCUUGAACUCUCUCUGCAUAUUUGGGUUAUGGGGUAGAAGGUCUCUAUCUAUGAAGCUCCUCUCUAAAAUUAGCUUUCUUAGUGGCACCAUUCCCUAAGUUUGUGGAACACCACCUGGCUGACGAAUCUAUCCUCCCAAGCUGUGGGAUUUCUAGUCCUGGCAAUUCAGCAAACCUGAGGCUCACCACCCUCAUGUACCUCCUCAUCUCCCUUAUCACCUCCGCCUGCACUCUCCCGGAACUGAAGCCAUAGGGGAGGUGGAGUACUCACCGCUUCCGUCUACUGAGCCCUCAGACGAUUCAGUUUGGAUAUGAUUUGCUGCUUGGGCAGUGGGUGAUAGUGGAGGAGAAUCAUCAGUCAAUUCGAAUUUGGAGAAACUGAGUCGGAAGAGAUGUCUUGGGUGGAACAUACUCAC
RNAcentral lists this long non-coding RNA (632 nucleotides) under Nicotiana benthamiana. RNAcentral describes it as "long non-coding RNA (NBEN_LNC029085)". The record is from RNAcentral. Lineage: Eukaryota; Viridiplantae; Streptophyta; Magnoliopsida; Solanales; Solanaceae.